UACGGAGGGGGCUAGCGUUAUUCGGAAUUAUUGGGCGUAAAGGGCGUGUAGGCGGCUUCGUAAGUCUUGUGUGAAAGCCCUCGGCUCAACCGAGGAAUUGCACGGGAAACUGUGUCGCUCGAGUCCGGGAGAGGAUAGUGGAAUCCCCAGUGUAGCGGUGAAAUGCGUAGAUAUUGGGGGGAACACCGGUGGCGAAGGCGGCUAUCUGGACCGGUACUGACGCUGAGACGCGAAAGCCAGGGGAGCAAACGGG
RNAcentral lists this ribosomal RNA (253 nucleotides) under uncultured bacterium. RNAcentral's name for it is "partial 16S ribosomal RNA". It matches the Rfam family "Bacterial small subunit ribosomal RNA", at positions 524 to 776 of the family's 1533-position model. The record is from RNAcentral.